AAAUGCGGAAGAGAUAAGUGCUGAAAGCAUCUAAGCACGAAACUUGCCCCGAGAUGAGUUCUCCCUGAGACUUAAAGUCUCCUGAAGGAACGUUGAAGACGACGACGUUGAUAGGCCGGGUGUGUAAGCGCAGCGAUGCGUUGAGCUAACCGGUACUAAUGAACCGUGAGGCUUAACCUU
RNAcentral lists this ribosomal RNA (180 nucleotides) under Salmonella enterica subsp. enterica serovar Ohio. RNAcentral describes it as "partial 23S ribosomal RNA". It matches the Rfam family "Bacterial large subunit ribosomal RNA", at positions 2751 to 2925 of the family's 2925-position model. The record is from RNAcentral. Lineage: Bacteria; Pseudomonadati; Pseudomonadota; Gammaproteobacteria; Enterobacterales; Enterobacteriaceae.